AACUGAUACUACCUGCGGGAACCUGCGGAGGGAUCAUCAUUGAAUUCAUAUUUCUCUACAAACCCUGUGAACUGUACGGUUGAGCGUUUGGCGGGUAGGGGAAGAGGGGGGAGCUGCUGUGCGCCGCGCUCCCUUUCUCUCUCUGUGCGUGUCGCGCCGUUAAGGCGUGCGUGCGCCCGCCACCUGCUCGCAUUUUAAACAAACUCUUUUUAAGCAUCCUUAACUGAAACAACAAAUUUU
RNAcentral lists this unclassified non-coding RNA (240 nucleotides) under soil metagenome. Its description in RNAcentral is "partial contains 5.8S ribosomal RNA, internal transcribed spacer 2, and large subunit ribosomal RNA". The record is from RNAcentral.